RNAcentral lists this ribosomal RNA (316 nucleotides) under uncultured bacterium. RNAcentral describes it as "bacterial SSU rRNA". It matches the Rfam family "Bacterial small subunit ribosomal RNA", at positions 28 to 334 of the family's 1533-position model. The record is from RNAcentral.
GAUGAACGCUGGCGGCGUGCUUAACACAUGCGAGUAGAACGCUGACUACUUUAGCUUGCUAGAGUAGAAGGAGUUGCGAACGGGUGAGUAACGCGUAGGUAACCUGCCUACUAGCGGGGGAUAACUAUUGGAAACGAUAGCUAAUACCGCAUAACAGUGUUUAACACAUGUUAGAUGCUUGAAAGAUGCAAUUGCAUCACUAGUAGAUGGACCUGCGUUGUAUUAGCUAGUUGGUGGGGUAACGGCCCACCAAGGCGACGAUACAUAGCCGACCUGAGAGGGUGAUCGGCCACACUGGGACUGAGACACGGCCCAG